CCUACGGGGCGGCAGCAGUGGGGAAUCUUCCGCAAUGGACGAAAGUCUGACGGAGCAACGCCGCGUGAGUGAUGACGGCCUUCGGGUUGUAAAGCUCUGUUAAUCGGGACGAAAGGUCCUCUUGCGAAUAGUUAGAGGAAUUGACGGUACCGGAAUAGAAAGCCACGGCUAACUACGUGCCAGCAGCCGCGGUAAUACGUAGGUGGCAAGCGUUGUCCGGAAUUAUUGGGCGUAAAGCGCGCGCAGGCGGAUCAGUCAGUCUGUCUUAAAAGUUCGGGGCUUAACCCCGUGAUGGGAUGGAAACUGCCAAUCUAGAGUAUCGGAGAGGAAAGUGGAAUUCCUAGUGUAGCGGUGAAAUGCGUAGAUAUUAGGAAGAACACCAGUGGCGAAGGCGACUUUCUGGACGAAAACUGACGCUGAGGCGCGAAAGCCAGGGGAGCGAACGGGAUUAGAUACCCCAGUAGU
This 465-nucleotide ribosomal RNA is filed under the name Klebsiella pneumoniae. RNAcentral's name for it is "bacterial SSU rRNA". It matches the Rfam family "Bacterial small subunit ribosomal RNA", at positions 338 to 794 of the family's 1533-position model. Lineage: Bacteria; Pseudomonadati; Pseudomonadota; Gammaproteobacteria; Enterobacterales; Enterobacteriaceae. The record is from RNAcentral.